UACAGAGACUGCAAGCGUUAUUCGGAUUCACUGGGCGUAAAGGGUGCGCAGGCGGCCGUGUGUGUGAGGCGUGAAAGCCCGGGGCUUAACCCCGGAAUUGCACCUCAAACUACAUGGCUAGAGCAUUGGAGAGGGUAGCGGAAUUCACGGUGUAGCAGUGAAAUGCGUAGAUAUCGGAAGGAACAUCAGUGGCGAAAGCGGCUUCCUAGACCAAUACUGACGCUCAUGUGCGAAAGCGUGGGGAGCAAACAGG
Molecule: ribosomal RNA, 253 nt
Filed under: uncultured bacterium
Lineage: Bacteria
Description: partial 16S ribosomal RNA
Rfam family: Bacterial small subunit ribosomal RNA
Source: RNAcentral